This 321-nucleotide ribosomal RNA is filed under the name uncultured Alphaproteobacteria bacterium. RNAcentral describes it as "bacterial SSU rRNA". It matches the Rfam family "Bacterial small subunit ribosomal RNA", at positions 1 to 352 of the family's 1533-position model. The record is from RNAcentral. Lineage: Bacteria; Pseudomonadati; Pseudomonadota; Alphaproteobacteria.
AGAUUAGAGUUUGAUCCUGGCUCAGAACGAACGCUGGCGGCAGGCCUAACACAUGCAAGUCGAGCGCUGUAGCAAUACAGAGCGGCGCACGGGUGAGUAACACGUGGGAACGUGCCCUUUGGUUCGGAAUAACCCAGGGAAACUUGGGCUAAUACCGGAUGAGCCCUAUCGGGGAAAGAUUUAUCGCCGAAGGAGCGGCCCGCGUUGGAUUAGCUAGUUGGUGGGGUAAAAGCCUACCAAGGCGACGAUCCAUAGCUGGUUUGAAAGAACGACCAGCCACACUGGGACUGAGACACGGCCCACACUCCUACGGGAGGCAAC